Molecule: long non-coding RNA, 339 nt
Filed under: Elaeis guineensis (African oil palm)
Lineage: Eukaryota; Viridiplantae; Streptophyta; Magnoliopsida; Arecales; Arecaceae
Description: long non-coding RNA (EGUI_LNC066319)
Source: RNAcentral
GUUCCUACACAUUUCUCGCUGUAGAAGAAAGCCUCCUCAAGCUUGGCGUGUAGAAGGAUGGACACCCAACCUUUGGGAAUGAAAAGAGAAGAGAGAGAGAGGGUGUGGCAUGAGAAGGAGAGAGAAAUUUUUGUUUCACAAAAUUCUAUUUUCAAACCCUAAGAGACUAUCCCUUUAGAUAGAUUCUUCCUUGAUCCAAAUCAGGAACCAAUUAACUUAAAAAAGGCACACCUUAUCUCAUAAAGAUUUUUGCCUUUUUAAUAUAAUUUUUUUUAUGAAAAUCUAUCUUAAUUGAUAGGACAUCAACCUCUUUUGGUAUGCAUAUGGAGCACCCCAGUC